Molecule: ribosomal RNA, 253 nt
Filed under: uncultured bacterium
Lineage: Bacteria
Description: partial 16S ribosomal RNA
Rfam family: Bacterial small subunit ribosomal RNA
Source: RNAcentral
UACGAAGGGAGCUAGCGUUGUUCGGAAUCACUGGGCGUAAAGCGCACGUAGGCGGACGUGUCAGUCAGGGGUGAAAUCCCGGGGCUCAACCUCGGAACUGCCUUUGAUACAGCACGUCUUGAGUCCGGAAGAGGUGGGUGGAAUUCCUAGUGUAGAGGUGAAAUUCGUAGAGAUUAGGAAGAACACCGGUGGCGAAGGCGGCCCACUGGUCCGGUACUGACGAUGAGGUGCGAAAGAGUGGGGAGCAAACAGG